GGGGUUGUGGCUCAGUGGUAGAGUGCUCAUCUAGCAAGUGAGAGGCACUGGGUUCAAUCCUCAGCACCA
Molecule: non-coding RNA, 69 nt
Organism: Ictidomys tridecemlineatus (thirteen-lined ground squirrel)
Lineage: Eukaryota; Metazoa; Chordata; Mammalia; Rodentia; Sciuridae
Source: Rfam